CUGUGACUGGCUCCAGAUACACUGAACAAAAAACCCGGCCCCGCAUGAGCAGCAGCAAGUGUUACAACCCCCAGGCAGCAGGUCUUGCUGAAUCCCAAGGCCAAGGGAGAGGCGGGAAAUGUGAACCCCCGCACCCCCCCACCCCGUAGCGGUCUUGGGAGAUUCAAAUCAUUGUAAUGGAGGAUGCCACAGCCCGCAGCAACUCGGGUGCGCCGGGGGGGCAGCUGUGCCCAGAGAAGCUGACCAGGGUAUCGAGCUGCAGAAACUCCUCUGCGAUAUACAUCAGAUUAGAGACGCGCGAACACAAGAGCACCACACUCUGCUGCGAUUCCUUAUUCUUCUCACGUCUUCAAGGAAUACGUAAAGCUGAUCUCCAUGCAAGAAAAAAGGUAGUGUGCAGUUUUUUACUUCUCUGCAUGGCUUAGUUAAAUGCUUCUAGGCAAACACACUCUGUCUACAUCAACCCUGCAGAGAAAUGAGAUGCAAGGACGAGAAUCCAAGGGCCAUGGAGGCUGAUUUCUUCUGCACCUGAGUGGGAAGCUCAGCUUCUCUGUUUGGACAAAGGAAGGCACAUCCCUUCUGGUUUGAAAGACAUUUUGCUAACCAGAAGCAUUGUGAAAGCUUCUGUGAAUCCAGCAUCCAGAAGUACAACCCUACCAACCAAGCCACAAGAUCCCUGCUGCCAGGGCUGAGCUCACCGCCUGAAACACAACUGCAAACUCCUGGGACUUUUUGCCAAGAGAUAGUGAAGUUCCUUUGACUUAAACUUCAGCUGAGCUGGGGUCUGGAGGCUGAAAUUUUGAAUGUAGGUACCUUUUGGGGGAGCUGAGUCUGAAAGACUUGCUUAUAGCUGUAAGAUCAGGCAGUGGUGGGAAGGAAUUUGUGUCUUGCUGUCCCUGUGCUGCCUAUGACAAAGGCACCGUGGCACUCAUGUCUGCAUCUGCCAGACUGAUGAAAAGGUCAGAAAGUGGGAUUUGGGAACUUUUCCAGGGAGUAAAUGGAUGGGGGUGAGUACCUUAAUUUAAACAGACCAGUGAGUAAUGAACCUGUAAGCUGGAGGUGAAAGACACUGGGAUCCUCUUAUGCAGAACUUCAGGUAUCAUAAUGCAAUGGAAAUGGACUGUGCCAAGUGUACUGUGGGCAUAGGGAAAUUCUUCAUGAGUUUAUACUUAAGGGUGAUG
This 1181-nucleotide long non-coding RNA is filed under the name Zonotrichia albicollis (white-throated sparrow). RNAcentral describes it as "lncRNA (ENSZALG00000003005.1)". Lineage: Eukaryota; Metazoa; Chordata; Aves; Passeriformes; Passerellidae. The record is from RNAcentral.